CGAGUCCCAAACAGGACGAAACGCGCGUC
Schistosoma mattheei is the source of this 29-nucleotide non-coding RNA. The record is from Rfam. NCBI's taxonomy places the organism in Eukaryota, Metazoa, Platyhelminthes, Trematoda, Strigeidida, Schistosomatidae.